This 93-nucleotide transfer RNA is filed under the name Armatimonadota bacterium. RNAcentral describes it as "Armatimonadetes bacterium (activated sludge metagenome) tRNA-Ser". It matches the Rfam family "tRNA". Rfam says of the family: Transfer RNA (tRNA) molecules are approximately 80 nucleotides in length. Their secondary structure includes four short double-helical elements and three loops (D, anti-codon, and T loops). RNAcentral also lists the same sequence under 3 other names. Lineage: Bacteria; Bacillati; Armatimonadota. The record is from RNAcentral.
GGAGAGAUGGCUGAGUGGUCGAAAGCGCCCGCCUGCUAAGUGGGUAAGGGGUGUUGAGCUCCUUCUCGGGUUCGAAUCCCGAUCUCUCCGCCA